Molecule: ribosomal RNA, 897 nt
Filed under: uncultured Bacteroidota bacterium
Lineage: Bacteria; Pseudomonadati; Bacteroidota
Description: bacterial SSU rRNA
Rfam family: Bacterial small subunit ribosomal RNA
Source: RNAcentral
GGAUCCAGACUUUGAUUAUGGCUCAGGAUGAACGCUAGCUACAGGCUUAACACAUGCAAGUCGAGGGGCAGCGGGAUUGAAGCUUGCUUCAAUUGCCGGCGACCGGCGCACGGGUGAGUAACGCGUAUCCAACCUUCCGUACACUCAGGGAUAGCCUUUCGAAAGAAAGAUUAAUACCUGAUGGUAUGAUGAGAUUGCAUGAUAGCAUCAUUAAAGAUUUAUCGGUGUACGAUGGGGAUGCGUUCCAUUAGGUAGUAGGCGGGGUAACGGCCCACCUAGCCAACGAUGGAUAGGGGUUCUGAGAGGAAGGUCCCCCACAUUGGAACUGAGACACGGUCCAAACUCCUACGGGAGGCAGCAGUGAGGAAUAUUGGUCAAUGGACGAGAGUCUGAACCAGCCAAGUAGCGUGAAGGAUGAAGGUCCUACGGAUUGUAAACUUCUUUUAUAAGGGAAUAAACCCUCCCACGUGUGGGAGCUUGUAUGUACCUUAUGAAUAAGCAUCGGCUAACUCCGUGCCAGCAGCCGCGGUAAUACGGAGGAUGCGAGCGUUAUCCGGAUUUAUUGGGUUUAAAGGGAGCGCAGACGGGUCGUUAAGUCAGCUGUGAAAGUUUGGGGCUCAACCUUAAAAUUGCAGUUGAUACUGGCGUCCUUGAGUGCGGUUGAGGUGUGCGGAAUUUGUGGUGUAGCGGUGAAAUGCUUAGAUAUCACGAAGAACUCCGAUUGCGAAGGCAGCACACUAAGCCGUAACUGACGUUCAUGCUCGAAAGUGUGGGUAUCAAACAGGAUUAGAUACCCUGGUAGUCCACACGGUAAACGAUGGAUACUCGCUGUUGGCGAUAUACAGUCAGCGGCUUAGCGAAAGCGUUAAGUAUCCCACCUGGGGAGUACGCCGGCAA